GUUUUGCAGCUGGUUCCAGCUCUUGGAAACUCUCCCCCUUCCAAAUGUAAGAAUGACUACAUCUACUCUAUUGGAAGUUGAAUGUUCUCAUGUUAGCCAUACUUAUAAUAUUGUGAUGGAGAUUAAAUGGAUUUGUCCAACCGCUCCUAUUAAACCAAUUUCAGGUUUUGGUGGUUUUCCUUCCAUUAAUUGCUUGUAAGAUUCCUAUUUCCUUAUACUCACAUUAAUAUAUUUAGCCUUAUGUAUUCAUCUUGGAAUGACAUCUUGUGUGGUAUUUGUCUUUCACCUAUACCGAUUGUAUUUGUCUCAUCAUGAGUCGUAUUUGUCUUUUACCUAUAUCGGUAUACCAGUUUAGUUGUUUUUCCAAGUUCACAGUACUCUGCCAAUAUGCACAACGUUAUAUCUUGUAUUCUUUGCUAUGGUUCCUUAUAAGUUUGGUGAGAAAUAUUCACGAGCUGUGACUGCAACUGGCUUUCAGGACGUGACGUUCAAAUCCUAUAAUGGUGAUCCAUGAUCCAUGAAGAUGUAGUGAUCCUAUGAAAGGAGAAGAAAGGAGAAGAUCAAGGCUAAAAUUAUGAACAGCCAACUAUUAGAUAGUUUUUAUAUGGAUCGGCUCGAUGUUAUUUGUAUCAUGUAUUCAUGUGGUUUGAGGAUUGUUGAGUAGUCCACACCUUAUAGUAUUGUAGAUUUGAAGAAGGUGAAAUUUUAAUUUUAAUUUAAUUUUAUUUA
This is a long non-coding RNA of Rosa chinensis, 729 nucleotides long. RefSeq lists it as uncharacterized. The record is from RefSeq and is a predicted model, not a curated record. NCBI's taxonomy places the organism in Eukaryota, Viridiplantae, Streptophyta, Magnoliopsida, Rosales, Rosaceae. The transcript is spliced from 2 exons.